Long non-coding RNA from Aptenodytes forsteri (emperor penguin), 2374 nucleotides. RefSeq lists it as uncharacterized. The transcript has 2 exons. The record is from RefSeq and is a predicted model, not a curated record. Lineage: Eukaryota; Metazoa; Chordata; Aves; Sphenisciformes; Spheniscidae.
UAACUGUGUGCAGGUGAAACACACAGGAGGCUAGAGGAAGAAACAGUUGACUUUGCAAACCAGAGUCUGAAGAAGGCUACGGUAGGUCAGAACAGACACAGUUAUACCCGUGAUGCGAGAGUUGCUUCUUCAGUGACUUGCCUGUCCUUUCCCACCAAUGCCCUUUGUGACAAUUCUUUUGUACAAGUCAUCAAAGAAGCUAUCUCCAGGCGUCACACUUACCAGUGUGGCCAGGAGCCAUCAGCCUGCUCACUCCUCUUCAUGCCUGCCGCCUUCUCUCUUCCCUAUGCCUGGCUUUGCUGGCUGCAUUGCUUCAUUCUGAUGACACAUCCUGAAGCUUCCACGGUGGAGACAAUGUGAGGCAGGCAAAGAAUGGUGCAGGGUCUGUAAAGCAGGAUUUCAGAGAGUCUCAGAAGUUUAUGCGUGUACAAGCCAUUACGGCUAACAGGGAUACCCAUGGAUGUGGUGUGUCAUCUACCCAGCCCCACCUGAAGCUUUGGAGAAGCCUGCAGGUGUGGCUAGAGCUUCUCGAGCCACCCAAGAGGAGCAGUCAGCUCAUAGGUGGGUUUGGGCAGGCGAGGCUCACCACAACAAACCCCGGCUGUGGCGGCAGACACAGGGGAUGAGGAGGGAUGAACAAGGUUGGGAGUCUGCUAGGGAGCCAUGGGGAAAAGUUGCGCAGUGUCAUGAGAAGGGGGGACUAGUCUGGCAUCUCUGCAAGGUGUUGGGUGGCUUUCUUAAGGUCCUUGUGAUUGAAAACUGAGGUCUGCCCCUAAAGAACCGUCUCCCAUUGCUCUCUUCAGGCAGCACUGCCAGAGGUUCUGCUUGCCAAUGCUCGCUAGUGACACUGGAAGCAGGCUGGACUUCCUUGUGAGAGCUGGUGUGCUGGUGAGGCUGCACUUGGGAGCCAGGUAAGUGCCAGUGGCACCUCACUCCUCAGCUGCUGCUAAUGUGUUUCUCGUUCACUCCACAUUGGUCUGCACCAAGGGAUCCUGCAGCCUGGAGUCAGCUGGGGUGACUGGCGGUGAACGCUUCAGACAGGCAGUGCUGCAACAGUGGGUGCAAUUGUGUAAGUAAGUUGAUAUUGCUGAAAGGGUUUCCCAAUUAACUUAAUAGCCCUCAGUUACCGCUAACCUGUGUGUGGUUCACUGUAUACACAGCCCUGCAGUCUUUGAGGUUUCUGAGAAAAUCCUCCAAGGCUGUGUGAUCUCCCUGAAAAUAAGGGACAGAAGUUACUUGGAAGCCAAGAGCUGUCGGUUCUAUGAAAACAUCGGCUUAGGCAGACACCCGUGGGCUUGUCUUUAACGUACCUUGGCACUGUCCGUGAGUCUUUCACUCAAACUAGAGGCAAGGCUUAAUGCGUCGGAAUAAUCCAGCUGAGAUGGCUGAUAGAGCACAUGAGACUUCGUAGCUGUACGUGCCCACUGUGCCUCUGCUGUUCAGAUCAGGGCCUGAAUGAAGGAAAAAGUGUUUGACAAGUUCCCCCUUCCCUUCUUCCCUCAUCCCUUUCCCUUCUUCCCAAAAAUAUAUUGUCUGUUUAGCCUGUAGGUAGGCCAAAAGCGAGGUGCAGGUAUGCGAGGAAGGAAUGGAGGGGUACACCCACCAGUUUUCUUCUUUUCUCUUGCCUGAGGCAAUGCCACAUGCAGCCUGUUGUGCGAGAGGUGACAAGGCUGACCUUUGAGGGGAUGUGUUGAGGAGGUGUGUUGGUGCCACGCAGUGUGUGAGAAAUGGGCCCGAAGGGGCAGUCCUUCCAGCACGUGGCCCCAGGCAGGGCUCAGUGUUUUGUCCCCUGCAGAGAAACUGGGAGCAGGCAGUGGCAGCAGCUGAGGGAAUCUAGGGUAAGAGAGAGGGCACUAUGGAUGUGUCGUAACAGUGCUCAGUGUGCCGAAAAUCGUCUCUGCCAAGGAACUGUCGGUCCUUCACAGUGCAGGGUACUGUGACUUCUGAUAACUUACUCGGAGACUGAUGUUUAGGGUUUGUGACUGCCGGGAUCACAAACAAAAGCAGGGAAAGGAAAAAGGAAAGGGAUCACCCUCUCUUGCCUCUCACAUGGGAAGUACGUUGUGCUGAAAGGACAAUGGGAGAAGCAUUAAGAGUAUGUGAGGGCGGGAGCAGGGCAAGGAGCUGCUGGAGACAGAAGAGAGCACAGGCUGGACUAUCAGCAGUCUCCACAGGAAUGGCCAGCCUCUAAGUUUGCGGGUCCUCAAUCCAGAGUUUGCAUUGGCUUCUCCCUACCCCCAGCCAGGAAAAGUAAGAAAACUCGUGCUGCAAUGCAAUAUCCCAAGCUUGAUCAGAAAAAAACCCAAAGAAGGCACUGUUCAUAGUGUGUAUGCAGAGGAAUCUAUGGUCUUUAUUCUAUAGACACUGAGGUGGG